AGCUCCAAUAGCGUAUAUUAAAGUUGUUGCAGUUAAAAAGCUCGUAGUUGGAUUUCUGGCAGGCAGGUUCGCAGUCUCGUUGAGAUUCGCAGCCUCCUUCCAUCCUUCUGUUAACCCUUGAGGUUUUAACGAUCUCUUGUGGGGCUCAGAUAUUUUACCUUGAGAAAAUUAGAGUGUUUCAGGCAGGCUAGCGCCGGAAUACAUUAGCAUGGAAUAAUAGAAUAGGACUUUUGCCUCUUCUGUUGGUCUGGGGGGUUCAAGUAAUGAUUAAUAGGGAUAGUUGGGGCAUUAGUACUUAACUGUCAGAGGUGAAAUUCUCGGAUUUGUUAAAGACUAACUUAUGCGAAAGCAUUUGCCAAGGAUGUUUUCA
Molecule: ribosomal RNA, 370 nt
Filed under: uncultured eukaryote
Lineage: Eukaryota
Description: SSU rRNA
Rfam family: Eukaryotic small subunit ribosomal RNA
Source: RNAcentral